AAAUUUUUUUUUUUUUGAAUGGAAUUAUUGCUUAGCAUUUUAUCCCACAUACAUUGUUAAUGCGGAACUAAUCUAAUUUAGAAUUAUUGUGUACUUUAUUCCACAUUACAUUAUGCCUUUCGUUACAUGGACAACGAUGUAACAUUAAUUUUGGCGGUCAUGCCUAUUGUUUAGGCAUAAAUCUCUGUUUCAAAACAGUACCAAAAAUAGUUGGUAUUGGCAUUUCUCGAUUAUCUCACCACUUUGAAUGCACAGAGGCAGAGGUAGAGGCAGGAUUAAAAAUCGACAAAUGUCAGUGGACCGCAAAACCACCUUUAUGUUUGUAAUCGUAAAGCUUGUUUGAAAUGUUUCCUCUAAUUUGCUUCUGGUUUAAAGCUUUGAUUUCUAAGGAAUGAAAAGCCCCACUCCUGCGCAUGGUGAGCAGUGCCCAUUCAUUGGGUGCCACGUGUGCACCUGCAAUCAUUACUAGGGUUAUUUGGUUGCAUCGCCUGUUCUUAGUCUGGUUUUGUGCAAAACUUGAAAUGGACAGUCCAGAUUGUCAAUACUAAUCUCGCAACGGAACGAUUCCAUGCUAAGGUUAUGUUCCGUAUUUUAUUUAUUUAUUGACUUAGCAUCGUUGAGUGUGGCGAAAAUAUGAUUUUAGAAACUAAAAAGCCCUAAUUUUUCAGUACAAGCGCAGAUGACCAUCCAUUGUUGGUCUUUUCUUUUUCAAAAGAAAAGAAAAAAAAAAAUUUUGAAAAGAAGAGUCAAAACAUCAAGGACAAGGAGGCGUUUGAAUUCUACUGUGAAAAGCUUCUUCCUUUGCAUUGAGCUCCAAAAAAUUUCCACUAAAAUUUGUUAUAUUCAGAUAUUUUAUUUCUUAUUGAAUACUAAUUAGUUUUGAUAGACACUCAAAUUUGAC
Molecule: unclassified non-coding RNA, 901 nt
Filed under: Hevea brasiliensis (rubber tree)
Lineage: Eukaryota; Viridiplantae; Streptophyta; Magnoliopsida; Malpighiales; Euphorbiaceae
Source: RNAcentral